RNAcentral lists this ribosomal RNA (526 nucleotides) under Platiana sp. UPOL RK0029. RNAcentral describes it as "partial 16S ribosomal RNA". It matches the Rfam family "Archaeal large subunit ribosomal RNA", at positions 1954 to 2679 of the family's 2987-position model. The record is from RNAcentral. Lineage: Eukaryota; Metazoa; Arthropoda; Insecta; Coleoptera; Elateridae.
CAUGUCUUUUUGAUUAUAAUUUAAGGUUUAAUCUGCUCAAUGAGGUUUUAAAUUGCCGCGGUAUUUUGACCGUGCAAAGGUAGCAUAAUAAUUAGUUCUUUUAUUGGGAGCUGGAAUGAAUGAUUGGACGAGAAAAUUACUGUCUCUGUUAAAUUUUUAUUUGAAUUUAAUUUUUAAGUUAAAAAGCUUAAAUUUUUGUUAAAGACGAGAAGACCCUAUAGAGUUUAAUAUUUUAUUAUUAUUUUUAGUAUUUGGAAUUGGUUAUUAAUUUUAUACUUGAAUAUUUAGUUGGGGUGACUAGAAGAUUUAAUAAACUCUUCCAAGAUUUUUAUCAUUGAUUUGUGAAUUUUUAAUCUAGAUUUUCUAAUUUUAAAAUAAAUUACCUUAGGGAUAACAGCGUAAUCUUUCUUUAUAGUUCUUAUUGAUAGAAGGGUUUGCGACCUCGAUGUUGGAUUAAAAUUAACUGUUGGUGCAGCAGCUGAUAGGUUAGGUCUGUUCGACCUUUAAAAUUUUACAUGAUCUGAGU